Folsomia candida is the source of this 2504-nucleotide long non-coding RNA. RefSeq lists it as uncharacterized. The transcript has 3 exons. The record is from RefSeq and is a predicted model, not a curated record. NCBI's taxonomy places the organism in Eukaryota, Metazoa, Arthropoda, Collembola, Entomobryomorpha, Isotomidae.
UCCUCGGAGACUGCAAGAGUUCGAUGAAGUCUCGUAAUUUCUCGUAAUUUUUUUUAAGUAAAUCGUCUCACACAAAUAUGUAAAGUGGACAAAGUUUAGUGCAUCCUUGAAUUUGCGCAUAAAUUUUGGAUUGAUUUGGUGCUAUUAAGCAUCAAAGUUUAUACAAAUCCAGACCUGAAAUACAGAGGUUAAAAUCGUAAUUGAAAAUUUCCAUCAAAAACGAGACGUCAUUGAAUGAUCUGAAAAUGUGGGAAAAAAAUUCCAACAAAGCUACGAAAAGCUGAAAAAUUCUCCGAUUUCUCAAGAUUACACGUUUGGAAAAAUCUGUUGCAGUCAUCUCUGUCCUUUUUCGGUAGAGGUAAUCUACAAAUCCACGUCCGAGUUGUGCAUGAAGAACGGAGAAAUUACACGUGCGAAUUCUGUGACACGAGAUUUUCCCAGUCAUCAAAUUUUAAGGUUCACGUGGAGGCGAAACAUAGGAGCUGAUCCAUUCCUGCGACAAAUGCGGGUUCAUGACCUCCUUCAUUCUUGGCCAUCCACGCAAAAUGGCACCAGUCUGCAAGUCAUGAAUGCUACUUCUACCAGAAGAAAUUUGUCCUUUUUUCCUGGUUUGGUAAGACACAUUCCCAAUCAUGCCCUGAAAAAUUAGGAUACAUUUGGUAGAUUUGUGUUUUUAAUUGGGGUAGAUUCUGUGCACCAAUUAGUUUAAUUGCACAAUUAUUUUUUCCGUAUGUAUUUACAAGAUAGUUAGAAGAUAGCCAUUAAAAAUGUUAGUCGAUUGGUAAAUAUCUCUCCUAUAACUGCAUUUGUGGCGUCGUUCACCAAACUAACGACACGAUCGCCAAUUUGAUUUAUAUUUACGAGGUCUUGCCUAAAGACCACCGGGAUUUGCUAUCUUGGUAUGAUAUGUAAAUAACGACCAAUAUUAAAACUAUAACAAAACAAUGGUAUAGACUUCCUUCCGAACCACUUCUUUCAGCAAGCUCUGUGUACAAUAUGCCAAUUAAAUGGUACAUGUAUAAAAUUAUAAAUAGGUAUGGAAAUUCUUACAUGGCGGUUUAAAAUUGCCAAAAAGUUAAAUACUUUAUUUUCCCAGGAUUUUUUUUGGCUCUUACGUUUUUUCUGUAGAACUCGUUCACCUCCAAGAUCGCUGCAUUAAUUUUGUCCAUCCUAAUAUGGACAAAAUAAAGUAUAUUGGAAACAGAUUUGCACACACCUAAAAAUUAAAGAAAUCGAUCCCUUUUCACGUAAAAAUCCUGAUUUCUUGAACUCAUUAUGAAACUCUGGUACAGUUUCAUGUAACUCAUAAAAAGUAUGAACUUUUAGACAAUAUAACGGCUGCAUUUGCAUACUUUACUCUGUUAGUUUAACUUUGAUACAAGAAAGAGGGAUUCACCAGAAUCCCAUUUCACGGGGUUCUGAGGGAAUAGUUUUUGAGGUACUUUUAUCAUACAAGGUUAAAACAGUGUUACUAGUAUUAGACGGUGGACGGAAUCACGUGAAGCUACUGAUUCUUCUUCCCGUUCCAACAUUUCGAUUAAAGUUGAUUACCUGAUAGAAUUAACAAAUUUCAUUGGUGUAUUUUUCAAGUAAGUAUGACGUUGAUUGCAAAAAUUACAUGAUCGAUAAUUUGAACUUCUCGGUGUAAGUACCGGGUAAAGUGGUAUUGGAUGCAUAUAAAAAUUUAAGAAAUACUCGGCCGAGCACUCAAAAAUACUCGGCCGAGUCCGAGUAGUGAGAAGACGGCCAAAACCUGCCGAGUACUCGGUGCAUGUCUAAUUAGAAGAGAUGAAAUGUUGACAAUUUGAUAAACCAGCAUAUGCAUACUUAAUACAUAUGUAAAUAUGCAAACUUAAAUUAAUACGUACAUAAUUAUAUACGAUUCACACAUCGAAAUACUGUAUACACAUGUUUCUACUACAAUUUCUUGAAUUUUAAGAGGCUUUCUCGAAAUAAAUGGGUUUUGUUUUAUGUAUAAAGCGAUUUAUUCGAGCUUUCAAAUCUAAACUUGCAGGAUCAUCAGGAAAUCAGAAUUUUAGCAAUUUUUGCGAAUCGAAAAAUCAUAUUAACAAAAAUUUGCCAUCUUCAUACAUACAUUUACCAUUAUUUGAAUUGCAGCAAAGCUUUAACCGUGUAAUCGAUAAUGGCCUGAUUAUACAUGCAUACAAAUUCUUUACUAAUCUUGAUUUGAAUCUCUCUACCCAAUCCGAUGUAAAUUUGGACAGGUUGCAUAGCUCGUAACCGCUUCCGGUACAUUUUUCCGGCUACCGUUCCCAGUCGUGAGUUGACAUCACUCAUCCAAAAUCUUAUCAUUCCUUCACUCAAUGACGUACAUUCAACAACAAAGCAUAACACGGUGUUUAAUAGUGUCGUGACCAACACGGUGGAAAUGGGAAACAUUGGGUAAACACUUUUUGGGAGAUAAGUCCUCAUCGUUAUUGUUGUCGCCGUGAAUAAUUUUACUUAUUAAGUAGCUUCAGCUACUUUAUGUGAAGACUUUGUCU